CUGUGGCCAUUGAUUGACACAUUAAAAUCAUCCAUUGACUGGGACAAUUUACGUGAACGUUUGUCUGUAACGACCACUGUUCACGACGUACCUACGAUAGACAUUUAAACUGUGGGAUCACCAAAGGUUUCUUAACGCCUUUAAUUAUAAAAUAAUUCGAAAAAUUAAUCAGGAAUAACCUUUGUGUUUUGAUUUAUAUAAUUGAUAUAAAUCAAAAUAUCGUGUUAUUUCUGAUUAAUUUUUCGAAUUACUUUAUUUAGUGUUUGAGAA
Molecule: long non-coding RNA, 270 nt
Filed under: Mytilus galloprovincialis (Mediterranean mussel)
Lineage: Eukaryota; Metazoa; Mollusca; Bivalvia; Mytilida; Mytilidae
Source: RNAcentral